CCUUCAGUCUACUGCAGGAGGGAAGGUUGGCCCUCCUUGCGCCUCUCUCAGUCGGUCAAGACCUGGUCUGAUGCUCAGUGAGUGAAAGACGAGACUCACUUGUUGACUGCGAGUGUCAAAACAUUUACAAGGAACAUUCCGCUGCGAGAAACGUUCCUCAGACCUAUGAGAGUGGAGUGUACAACAGGUGGCUGGUACUCUAAGACAGUCACAGACGCUCUUGUGUGGAGUACCGCAAUACACAAAGCCAGGACUGCAAGGAGGCAUAUAUUCUCCUGUCUUAUUCCUCUUCCUCCUCCUCCUCUCAUCCUCGUUCCAGCCUGCAUCGUCAGGAGACUGAAGGAGGAAGACCUACAACCUGCCAGACUGCUGGACGAAGUGAACGACUUGAUUAUGACUGUCUGUGUCAUGGGAUAGAGCAACAUGGGCGAGGAGACUAAAUAUUGUGCUAACUGUAAACGGGAGGUGUCAGCAAGGAACUACA
Non-coding RNA from Cherax quadricarinatus, 484 nucleotides. The record is from RefSeq and is a predicted model, not a curated record. Lineage: Eukaryota; Metazoa; Arthropoda; Malacostraca; Decapoda; Parastacidae.